GGAGCAGUUCAGAGAGGUUUUGCUCUCCUCCUUAACCUGCGGUGGUUUCCUGAUUUCUCGUGGAUUAACCACGUUCUCCCUCUUUAUUUUUUCUCCAUAAUCUCAGUCUCCUUCUCUCUUCAUAAAGAUCGCUCCUUUAAUUGCAUAAUAUACCCUGAGAAAACACGCAGGAGAUAUUGGCAAUAACCCUAACCCUUCCCUAUAAAUUGCAAAAUCUCAAUGCGGGCUAAUCUCUUUCAUGCAAUUGCUGAUUGGAUUUGAAUCUCAUCUUCGUUCUUAACUUCAGGUUGCACAAUCAGUAACGUUUGUUUUCCUUUUUAUCUGAGUUUAGUUUUCGGUUUUCGACCAACACUCACCGCCCCGUCGGGGAUCCCAGCAUUUAUUUGAAUACUCGAUCAGUGGGAAAAAGGCAAAUCCGUUAUAUUCAGUCAGCUCACUCCGAUAAUCAAAAGCCUCCGAUAAUCAACACCAUGCCAUUAUAUUCGAAUAGCUUUUCGUCUUUUAAUGAUUGUUUAGUGUUUGUGUUUGUUUUGUGAAUCAUAUGAUUUGUAGACUUUUGGUAUGCUUACACACUAAUUUAAUUGUUGCGGGGAGGAAAUAAAGGGUGUCUUGUGUGCAAGAAAAAGAUGGCAACUUCUCCCAAAACACUUUCUGGAUUCUGCCCUGCCCCAUUUAGAAAUCUUUUGGAAUAUGUUGUUAAUUUGACUUUUGGUAUGCCUACGUAUGCAAAAAUUUCCAUUUGAUCGGCUGAAAGUUCUAAUCGUGUGACGAGGAGCCUAAUCAUUUAGGUUUCGUCGAAUGCUGAAUGAUCACACAUUCUUUGGUACCCACAAAGUUUAUUACCUCCUAAAGUCAUAAUUGCAUUAACUUUAUCUUCAAAAGGGGAAGGUCAAACUGAUUUCUUGACCAAACGUCAACUGACAUGGAAGACUUCAUUUUGUAGCCUUAAUUUCAUGUUAAAGAAGAACAUUUGUUACCUAUUUUAUGGUACUUAUUUUAAAUUAACUAAUGUUCAUGAAGAGAACUCACAUCAUAGUACUUUGGCUGUUUGUUUGAAGCCGUGAAAAUGAAGCCCUUUAAUGGAAGGUAGAUGUCGAGACCAAUGAGGUUAAUACUCAAAUGACGUUGCCACUAUGGAGCUUGGACAGUGUUUUGGAGCUUGAGUGUCAAGAGGAUAUUUAGCAUACUUCAGCAGGACCACCCGAUUAGCAUGGAGCAGCUAGAGUUAUUUUCCGGGUCAACACUCAACCCAUUAAAAGAGAAGUCUCAGCUUAUGUUGGGUUAGAGGGGAAGGAAGUUAUGAGCAACAGUUAUCUCUAUUUUCCAGUUUACUAUUUAGACUAGACUAUCGUUGUUUUGUUCUUUGUCUUUGAAAAACUCAGUAUUUAUUUCUUGUAUUUGGAGAUUAGCCCAUCUCAAAUAGGCCUAUUAUCAGUUGUUUUAAUUUUAAUCAAGCCGAUUUCAAGUUCUUAUCA
Molecule: long non-coding RNA, 1475 nt
Organism: Helianthus annuus (common sunflower)
Lineage: Eukaryota; Viridiplantae; Streptophyta; Magnoliopsida; Asterales; Asteraceae
Exons: 7
Source: RefSeq, a predicted model, not a curated record